Molecule: non-coding RNA, 133 nt
Organism: Triticum aestivum (bread wheat)
Lineage: Eukaryota; Viridiplantae; Streptophyta; Magnoliopsida; Poales; Poaceae
Source: Rfam
CUAAUACUCCCUCCGUUAUAAAAUUCUUGUCUUAAAUUUAUUAGACACGGAUGUAUCGAACACUAAAAUGUGAAUAAAUACAUCCGCAUGUAGACAAAUCUAAGACAAGAAUUUUGGGACGAGUGAGUACAAA